GGGAUUGCUCGUUAACCGAAGUUAAGAAUCUUAUGGAAGGUAACUCGUUAACCGAAGGAUCACUGUACUCGUAUUUCAUAAUUUGGGCUUUGCCUUCAUUCUAGAAAGUGUUUUUUUUUGUGCGUGUAUUGUUGUGUGUUUCCACUGCCUUAAAAAAAAAGCAUUUUGGAAUAAAAGGUCCAUUGUUGUACAAAACUGAAAAAUACAGGUAUACAGUGCAGGUCAACAGUCAAGAAAUUCAACCAAGGAUAGCCGACUGAGCCAUCAGGAGCUUAUUACCUGUAAGGUCCUUUGAUUAGGCUGGGAAACUAACCAGUAGGAGGUAAUAUUAGAAGAGAUGGCUAACACCAGAAGGAGUUGUUUGAUUUUGUUCUUUUUUCCACAGAUGUUAUUAUCAUUAUAGUACAGUAAGUAUUUUAAAAGAGGCGACAUUUACUAGAACCUAAGAGAACCUUACCUAACCAACCAAAGAAACCUAUUUAACCCUACCUAACUUCCUAGCCAAUGGCCUGUGUCCUCUGGACUCCCCACCAUGUUAAACAGAAAGUACUUAUUUUGAGAUCUGGUACCAAUGAAAGCAACUUUGUUGAAGCAUCAUGGUUAAGUAAGGUUAGGUCGAUUUUCUAGAAAAAAGUGGCUCAUUCGCACAAGAAAUGAAAGUCAUAUUUGACUAAAACACACCAAAAUACACUAGAAAAACAAUUUCUCAGAUAAAAAAAGGGAAUGGGCAAAAAACGAAUAAUUGCCUUCUAUUUUAUUUCCCUUGAAUACAGUCCACAUUCACCCCUGAGCCUUGUAUGUUACGCAGGCAUUUUUUCUUUUACUGUAA
Homarus americanus (American lobster) is the source of this 829-nucleotide long non-coding RNA. RefSeq lists it as uncharacterized. The record is from RefSeq and is a predicted model, not a curated record. NCBI's taxonomy places the organism in Eukaryota, Metazoa, Arthropoda, Malacostraca, Decapoda, Nephropidae. The transcript is spliced from 2 exons.